GAGUAACCUGCCCUUAACUCUGGGAUAAGCCUGGGAAACUGGGUCUAAUACCGGAUAUGACCCGUCACCGCAUGGUGGUGGGAGGAAAGAUUUUUUGGUUUUGGAUGGACUCGCGGCCUAUCAGCUUGUUGGUGAGGUAAUGGCUCACCAAGGCGACGACGGGUAGCCGGCCUGAGAGGGUGACCGGCCACACUGGGACUGAGACACGGCCCAGACUCCUACGGGAGGCAGCAGUGGGGAAUAUUGCACAAUGGGCGCAAGCCUGAUGCAGCGACGCCGCGUGAGGGAUGAAGGCCUUCGGGUUGUAAACCUCUUUCAGUAGGGAAGAAGCGAAAGUGACGGUACCUGCAGAAGAAGCGCCGGCUAACUACGUGCCAGCAGCCGCGGUAAUACGUAGGGCGCAAGCGUUAUCCGGAAUUAUUGGGCGUAAAGAGCUCGUAGGCGGUUUGUCGCGUCUGCCGUGAAAGUCCGGGGCUCAACUCCGGAUCUGCGGUGGG
RNAcentral lists this ribosomal RNA (497 nucleotides) under Actinobacteridae bacterium 13-04PB. Its description in RNAcentral is "bacterial SSU rRNA". It matches the Rfam family "Bacterial small subunit ribosomal RNA", at positions 119 to 630 of the family's 1533-position model. Lineage: Bacteria; Bacillati; Actinomycetota; Actinomycetes. The record is from RNAcentral.